GGAAAGAUGGAUGAGCGGUUUAAGUCGCACGCCUGGAAAGCGUGUGUGGGUUCAUAGCCCACCGAGGGUUCGAAUCCCUCUCUUUCCGCCA
Molecule: transfer RNA, 91 nt
Filed under: Burkholderiaceae bacterium
Lineage: Bacteria; Pseudomonadati; Pseudomonadota; Betaproteobacteria; Burkholderiales; Burkholderiaceae
Description: tRNA-Ser
Rfam family: tRNA
About the family: Transfer RNA (tRNA) molecules are approximately 80 nucleotides in length. Their secondary structure includes four short double-helical elements and three loops (D, anti-codon, and T loops). Further hydrogen bonds mediate the characteristic L-shaped molecular structure. tRNAs have two regions of fundamental functional importance: the anti-codon, which is responsible for specific mRNA codon recognition, and the 3' end, to which the tRNAs corresponding amino acid is attached (by aminoacyl-tRNA synthetases). tRNAs cope with the degeneracy of the genetic code in two manners: having more than one tRNA (with a specific anti-codon) for a particular amino acid; and 'wobble' base-pairing, i.e. permitting non-standard base-pairing at the 3rd anti-codon position.
Source: RNAcentral